RNAcentral lists this ribosomal RNA (494 nucleotides) under uncultured bacterium. RNAcentral describes it as "partial 16S ribosomal RNA". It matches the Rfam family "Bacterial small subunit ribosomal RNA", at positions 28 to 507 of the family's 1533-position model. The record is from RNAcentral.
GACGAACGCUGGCGGCGUGCUUAACACAUGCAAGUCGAACGGUGAAGCGCCUUCCUUUUUGGUGGGUGUGGAUGAGUGGCGAACGGGUGAGUAACACGUGAGUAACCUGCCCCCUUCUUCUGGAUAACCGCAUGAAAGUGUGGCUAAUACGGGAUAUUCUGGGUCUGUCGCAUGAUGGGUCUGGGAAAGAUAUUGUUUCGGUGGGGGAUGGGCUCGCGGCCUAUCAGCUUGUUGGUGGGGUGAUGGCCUACCAAGGCGGUGACGGGUAGCCGGCCUGAGAGGGUGGACGGUCACACUGGGACUGAGACACGGCCCAGACUCCUACGGGAGGCAGCAGUGGGGAAUAUUGCACAAUGGGCGCAAGCCUGAUGCAGCGACGCCGCGUGAGGGAUGGAGACCUUCGGGUUGUGAACCUCUUUCGCCAGUGAAGCAGGCCUGCCUCGUUUGUGGGUGGGUUGACGGUAGCUGGAUAAGAAGCGCCGGCUAACUACGUG